CCUACGGGUGGCUGCAGUGAGGAAUAUUGGUCAAUGGACGAGAGUCUGAACCAGCCAAGUAGCGUGAAGGAUGACUGCCCUAUGGUUUGUAAACUUCUUUUAUAUGGGAAUAAAGUUUUCCACGUGUGGGAUUUUGUAUGUACCAUAUGAAUAAGCAUCGGCUAACUCCGUGCCAGCAGCCGCGGUAAUACGGAGGAUCCGAGCGUUAUCCGGAUUUAUUGGGUUUAAAGGGUGCGUAGGUGGAUUGUUAAGUCAGUUGUGAAAGUUUGUGGCUCAACCGUAAAAUUGCCGUUGAAACUGGCAGUCUUGAGUAUAGUAGAGGUAGGCGGAAUGCGUGGUGUAGCGGUGAAAUGCUUAGAUAUCACGAAGAACUCCGAUUGCGAAGGCAGUUCACUGGACUGCAACUGACACUGAGGCACGAAAGUGUGGGUAUCAAACAGGAUUAGAUACCCUAGUAGUC
This 460-nucleotide ribosomal RNA is filed under the name uncultured bacterium. RNAcentral describes it as "partial 16S ribosomal RNA". It matches the Rfam family "Bacterial small subunit ribosomal RNA", at positions 338 to 795 of the family's 1533-position model. The record is from RNAcentral.